Molecule: long non-coding RNA, 4287 nt
Organism: Hippopotamus amphibius kiboko
Lineage: Eukaryota; Metazoa; Chordata; Mammalia; Artiodactyla; Hippopotamidae
Exons: 4
Source: RefSeq, a predicted model, not a curated record
GCCGGAGCCGGCGCGGUCCCGGCCUCGCGGGAGCCGCUUUCGGGGUCCGGGCGCGGUCCUAGCGAGCGCGUGCGGGGCGAGUCUGGAUCCCGGACCCGACCCCGCCGUGACCGGCGCAGAAACAGAGGGCGCAGCUGAAAUGAGCUUCACGAAUUUGUCGUUGAGCGCGAUGCUGGCGUUAGCAUCAAAGAUAGACGAGUGGGUAUCGCUAAUAAAGUCCGUGGACACGACCUGGGCAUCAGAAUUUCAAAGAUAAGCGUGGGUCGCAGAGCAAGGACCUCCAGGAGCUCAGGCUCUUGGGCACACUGUCCAUCCGUUCGUCUACAGUAUUUGCCAGAGUCCCACUCUCUCCAGGUUCUGGGGACAGGGUGUGAGGAAGACAUCCCCAGGGGUUUUGCAGGUAGGGGACUGGCCAAAGGAUACAGACUGCAAACAGCCUCUGAUGCUGCACCAACAGACAUCUCUUCCUGGGAAUAUUGCGCGUGGAAUGCAAGAGGCCCUCCCUGAGGGGAGGCAGUGAGUCUGGAUCUGGUCAACUCCAGCCCUCAGCAGGGUCUCAGGUGGAAGGAACUACAGCACAAAGGCCCUGGGGGGUUGGCCCUAGCAUGGUGGAGGGCCACAGGAAGGUUUUCAGCUCUGGGGGUGAUGUGAUCUGAUUUCUUUAAGAGUUCCUGGCAGCUGUGUGAGAGUGGACCUUCAGGAGCUAAAACAGACAGCACCAAGGUGGACAGACAGAGCUGGCACUACUGGGAGCAAAGGGACGUGAUAUUCAUUCCUCACAGGGAAGGCAUCUGGCUGUGGCCUGCCUCAAGCAAGUGUUGAAAAAUGGGAGCCCUUGUCUUGUUCACUAAGCACGUAUUCAGCACCUGCUGUAUGCCAGGCCCUGGGAAGACAGCUGGAGCUACAGAAGUGAAAAACAAGUCCCAAAGUCCCUGCUGUCUUGGAGUGUACGUGCUAGCAGGGCCAACAGGGACUAUGAAGUGACAUAUCAGCUUCUGCAACAGGGAUCCUGGUGCCAGAGGCCAGGCAAGGCCCUGAAAACACACAUCACAUCCAGAGAGCAACUCCCAGGAGACUGAAGCCUUGCGGCAGCCCUGGGGCCAGCAGUAGCUAGUGGUUUAUGUUGGAAAGAAGAGCCAGGACAGAGGUGAAAAGAGUAGAGGCAGAGCUGCCUGGGAGCACAGGCGGGCUGGCCCUAGAGAUGAAUGAACGAGCAGCUUCCUCUCUUCUCCCUGGGCCACCACACAUGGUUCUUCUUGCUCCCUGGUCAUCUGUCAGGUCACACUUUUCAUCAUCUGACCCAAGAAGUUCUUUUCUGAUGCCCCCCAUUCCCUGCCUUCCAAGUUGGGGGAAGGGCACUUCAACAAAUUCCUUUGUGGCAGCUGUGGAGCUGGCAUGGGGCAGAGUCGGUGCCCCUGGAGACCCCAGCCCCUUCCCCUAGGCUGUCAUAGGCUCUGCCCUCCUGCCCAGGGGCCUGUUUCGAGGAUUCUGUUCAUUCUUCAAGGAGGUACUGAGUCUACCCAGGCCCAGGGCCUGCGCCUGCGGGUGCCAGAGCAACAGUGGUGCCCAGGGCCCUCCUUGCAAGGAGGCUGCGUGAGCCCUUCCUGGUGCUCCCCACGCCCCUCCGGCCGUGCUCCCUGCUGCGCUGUGGUGGGUAUGAUCAGCAUCCCUAUCAGAUGCAUGAGGAAACCGAGGCUCGGGGAAGUUCACUGCCUUGCCCAGGGUCACCCAGCUGGAAAGGGUGGAGCGGGCUAAAGUACACACUCAAGCAAACAGCUAGUGCUGACGGCCCGGAGGACGUCUGCAGUGGUGCGAUGGAGAGCAGCGGGGAAGGGGGAAGAGGCGCUGCAGUCAUCGGGGAAGUCGGCACCUGAGGGGGGCACACACUGAGGGGGCGGCUGUGCGGGGACGGGGCAGCCCUGGGAGAAUGCCCCAAGCGGCGGGAAGGACAGUGCCCAGGCUGAGGAAGGGACGGACACAGUAUGUCUCAGUAAUGACUGCCCUGCUGGAAUUUGGAAUUGUUUUUGCUGUCAUGAUUUCAAAUUUGGGUCAAGCAGCUUCUAUUCUCACUGACCCUUAAGUCCCUGCUUCUACCCAUCCCUGGCCACCUGACUACAAAUAAACAGUGGGGCUGAGAGCAGACCUGCCGGGAGGAGUGCUGGGAAGGCUGCAGAUCUCGCCUGGGGUUGGAGGGAGCUCACAAGCAUGCGUGUGCAAGUGUGUAAAAUCGGAGGCAGCUACAGGCCCAGCAGUGGCUAAUAACUUACAUUAGAAAGGUGAAGGAGGUUUACUGUUUCCCAUUAUAGAAUUUUUUUGGUGUUUUGAAAAUGUUUGUAUUUGAAGCAUUUUAAACACCCAGUGUUAUUGCUUUUGACUUACAGAUUCUAAACAAAUCUUGAAAUGAAGGAGGCAUAUUUGUAUCAGUGAGAACUAGGUGAAGUGGGUUCUAAGAAAAGGUGCUGGUGCAGGGUCCCGAGAGGCUGAUGGCCAGUGUGGCUGAAGUGACGUGGAAAGGCUGGGGAGUGGGGCAUAUAGUUGGUGGGGGGCCCCGUCAGCAGCUGGGAUUUUAUUUGUGGGGUGAUGGGAAGCCAUCGGAGGAUCUACGUGGGGGCGUAACCAGGCCCCGUUGAUGUUUUAAAACGGCCUCUGUGGCUGCUGUGUAGGAACUGAAUAGAAGAAGUUGGCCAGGUGGUGAUGCCAUUUCCUGGGCAGGCAGAUGAACAGAUCUGAGGCUUAAAGAAUAAUCAGGAGUUGAGUUUUAGACAGCUUGAGUUCAUAUGCCUGAGAGAAAAUGCACACAUGUUAAAUAAAAAGUAUUUUGAGUGCAGUGGGGCAUCUUUCUAGAUUAGUGCUUCUUAACCAUUCUAGGGGUCAGGGACUUCUCUGAGACCCCCUUUCCAUACCAGUACCCAGAGGCAUGUGCACACACAAUUUGGGGGUUUAUGAACCCCACAUGAGAGGCUGGAAUCCCCUUCUAGUCACCUCUGCGUCCCCUGCAUUCGUCUGUUGCAGGCUUGCACAGACGGCCGCCCUUACCACUGGAAGAUGCUGAUCUCGUUGUUAUCGACGACCAGCUGUCCAUUCCUGUAUUCCACGCUCCCCUUGUAUCGGCCAUGGGUGGAGUCAUACUUAAACAUGUACACCUGCAGGAGACAGAAUGGCUCCUAGUCUUGGGGUGGACGGGGAGCGAGCAUCCCUAGGGAGUCCCCACCGCGGUGAAGGUUCCAUCACAUUGCAGCUGGGAGCUUCCACAGGGCUCCCCUGAACCCCUUCCCCACCCUGGUCCCACUCUCCCCUAUCUCGCCCUUUUGUCUGCUGCUCACCAUGUAUUCUGGGUCAAUGAACGGAUCAUUCACUGCUACCACCUUAACGCCCUUCUCCAUGCAGGCACGCAGCACCAGGCGACCAAUGCGUCCAAAGCUGUCCAGGAAUGAAGGUUGAGGGGGUGGUCCUCAGAAUCCUCAGCCAGCAGGCAGAGGAGGGGACGGGAGGGAAGCAGGGAACAGAGAAGAGGCCGGCUCAAGGGGACUGGGUGGGAUUUCUCAAUCUGGGGAAGAAGGCAGCCAUCCCUGUGCGGGCCAGUGUCAUCUUGCCCAGAUGACCUCGCCAGCCUCUUCACUACUUUCUGUGCCUCCUCUGCCCAUCUGUCCUCUACCCCUAUUCCUAACCUUGUAGCUGGAUGGAUCUUGUAGAACUUCACGUCAGAUUAUAUCUCUUGACCUGAAAACCUCCACCACUCUCUCAGUAAAACCAGAUCCAAACUCCUUCCCAUGGUCCCCUAGGCCGCUGCCAGCUUUCCGCCGCCCUCCCUCUAAUCCCCUGCUUGUGUCACAGCAGCCGCGCUGAAUUCCUGCCCAUCCUUAUUACACUGAGCUGCCACUGCUUGCUGCACAGUUAUCACUCAGGCCUCACUCCAGUGUCACCUCCCAGAGGCCUUCCCUGAGUCCCCUGGCUAACACUGCCCUCUUCAGUCUUACUGUACCCCUGAGUUCCACACUGUUCAUCACUGAGCUGCCGUGUUCCUUAUUUGUUGACUUCCUGCCAGAAUGUGAGCUCUCUGAACCAUUCUAGGGGUCAGGGACUUGUUUACCGGAGCCCUGUUUACCUGAUCCCCAUGUUUCUCCAGGAUGGGCGAGUGAAAGCCUUGCUGAGACAUGAGGAAAUGCCCCAGUUAGUCAUGGAGGAGAGGCUGGGCCCUGAAGCUUCAGGAAUGGCUCAGGGGCCAGAGGCGACUCACCCAUUGAUGCCGACAGUCAGCUCCCGAAGCUUCUUAGGUGGAGGAGGUGG